Molecule: ribosomal RNA, 157 nt
Filed under: uncultured bacterium
Lineage: Bacteria
Description: partial 16S ribosomal RNA
Rfam family: Bacterial small subunit ribosomal RNA
Source: RNAcentral
UAGGAAUAUUCGUCAAUGGGGGAAACCCUGAACGAGCAAUGCCGCGUGAACGAUGAAGGCCCUAUGGGUUGUAAAGUUCUGUUGUUUGGAACGAAUAACUAGAAGAGGAAAUGCUUUUAGUCUGACGGUACCAUUCAAGAAAGCCACGGCUAACUAC